AGAUGUAUAGCUCAGUGGUAGAGCACUUACCUCCCACGUGAGAGGUCCUGGGUUUAAUCCCCAGUAUUGCAA
This 72-nucleotide transfer RNA is filed under the name Fukomys damarensis (Damara mole-rat). It matches the Rfam family "tRNA". Rfam says of the family: Transfer RNA (tRNA) molecules are approximately 80 nucleotides in length. Their secondary structure includes four short double-helical elements and three loops (D, anti-codon, and T loops). The record is from Rfam by way of RNAcentral. Lineage: Eukaryota; Metazoa; Chordata; Mammalia; Rodentia; Bathyergidae.